CUACGGGUCGCAGCAGUAGGGAAUCUUGCGCAAUGGGCGAAAGCCUGACGCAGCAACGCCGCGUGAACGAUGAAGCUUUUCGGAGUGUAAAGUUCUGUCAGUGGGGACGAAAUUUGACGGUACCCACAGAGGAAGCACCGGCUAACUCCGUGCCAGCAGCCGCGGUAAUACGGAGGGUGCGAGCGUUGUCCGGAAUCAUUGGGCGUAAAGAGUUCGUAGGUGGUAUGUUAAGUCUGGUGUUAAAGCCCGAAGCUCAACUUCGGUUCGGCACUGGAUACUGGCAAACUUGAAUGUGGUAGAGGUAAAGGGAAUUCCUGGUGUAGCGGUGAAAUGCGUAGAUAUCAGGAGGAACAUCGGUGGCGUAAGCGCUUUACUGGGCCAUAAUUGACACUGAGGAACGAAAGCCAGGGUAGCAAAUGGGAUUAGAUACCCGGGUAGUC
RNAcentral lists this ribosomal RNA (440 nucleotides) under uncultured bacterium. RNAcentral's name for it is "partial 16S ribosomal RNA". It matches the Rfam family "Bacterial small subunit ribosomal RNA", at positions 339 to 795 of the family's 1533-position model. The record is from RNAcentral.